CCUACGGGUGGCAGCAGUGGGGAAUAUUGGACAAUGGGGGCAACCCUGAUCCAGCCAUGCCGCGUGUGUGAAGAAGGCCCUCGGGUUGUAAAGCACUUUCAGUGAGGAAGAACGCCUGGUGGUUAAUACCCAUCAGGAAAGACAUCACUCACAGAAGAAGCACCGGCUAACUCCGUGCCAGCAGCCGCGGUAAUACGGAGGGUGCGAGCGUUAAUCGGAAUUACUGGGCGUAAAGCGCGCGUAGGUGGCUUGAUAAGCCGGUUGUGAAAGCCCCGGGCUCAACCUGGGAACGGCAUCCGGAACUGUCAAGCUAGAGUGCAGGAGAGGAAGGUAGAAUUCCCGGUGUAGCGGUGAAAUGCGUAGAGAUCGGGAGGAAUACCAGUGGCGAAGGCGGCCUUCUGGACUGACACUGACACUGAGGUGCGAAAGCGUGGGUAGCAAACAGGAUUAGAUUACCCUUGUAGUC
Molecule: ribosomal RNA, 466 nt
Filed under: Vreelandella stevensii
Lineage: Bacteria; Pseudomonadati; Pseudomonadota; Gammaproteobacteria; Oceanospirillales; Halomonadaceae
Description: partial 16S ribosomal RNA
Rfam family: Bacterial small subunit ribosomal RNA
Source: RNAcentral